GUCUGUAUAGAUUAAAAAAAUCGUAAUGCUGUUAACUUUAAGAUGGGAUGCGUCUCUACAGUCG
RNAcentral lists this transfer RNA (64 nucleotides) under Rhinebothriidae sp. DJM-2021. RNAcentral describes it as "tRNA-Asn". The record is from RNAcentral. Lineage: Eukaryota; Metazoa; Platyhelminthes; Cestoda; Rhinebothriidea; Rhinebothriidae.